GUCGAGCGAGAAGGCUUUCUUCGGAAAGUGAUUAAAGCGGCGAACUGGUGAGUAACAGGUGGGUCACGUGCCCUGAAGUUUGGAAUAACCCCGGGAAACCGGAGCUAAUACCAAAUGUGGUUCUUCGGAACUAAAGACUUCGGUCGCUUCAGGAUCGGCCCGUCCCCGAUUAGUUAGUUGGUGAGGUAACGGCUUACCAAGACGACGAUCGGUAGCUGGUCUGAGAGGAUGGUCAGCCACACUGGGACUGAGACACGGCCCAGACAGCUACGGUUGGCAGCAGUGGGGAAUAUUGCGCAAUGGGCGAAAGCCUGACGCAGCCAUGCCGCGUGUGUGAAGAAGGCCCUAGGGUUGUAAAGCACUUUCAGCAGGGAAAAUAAUGACGGUACCUGCAGAAGAAGAUCCGGCUAACUCCGUGCCAGCAGCCGCGGUAAUACGGAGGGAUCGAACGUUAAUCGGAAUUACUGGGCGUAAAGCGCGCGUAGGUGGCUUGCCAAGUGAGAUGUGAAAGCCCCGGGCUCAACCUGGGAAUUGCAUUUCAAACUGGCAGGCUGGAGUAUAGUAGAGGGGAGUAGAAUUCAGAGUGUAGGGGUGAAAUCCGUAGAUAUUCUGAGGAAUACCAAUGGCGAAGGCAGCUCUCUGGACUAAUACUGACACUGUAGCGCGAAAGCGUGGGGAGCAAACAGGAUUAGAUACCCUGGUAGUCCACGCCGUAAACGAUGCCAACUAGCCGUUGGGAGGCUUGACCUUUUAGUGGCGAAGCUAACGCGAUAAGUUGACCGCCUGGGGAGUACGGCCGCAAGGUUAAAACUCAAAUGAAUUGACGGGGGCCCGCACAAGCGGUGGAGCAUGUUGUUUAAUUCGAUGCAACGCGAANAACCUUACCACCCCUUGACAUCCUGCGAAC
RNAcentral lists this ribosomal RNA (907 nucleotides) under uncultured bacterium. RNAcentral describes it as "bacterial SSU rRNA". It matches the Rfam family "Bacterial small subunit ribosomal RNA", at positions 61 to 996 of the family's 1533-position model. The record is from RNAcentral.